AUUGAACGCUGGCGGCAGGCCUAACACAUGCAAGUCGAACGGCAGCACAGAAGUGCUUGCUCUUUGGGUGGCGAGUGGCGGACGGGUGAGUAAUGUCUGGGAAACUGCCCGAUGGAGGGGGAUAACUACUGGAAACGGUAGCUAAUACCGCAUAACGUCGCGAGACCAAAGUGGGGGACCUUCGGGCCUCACACCAUCGGAUGUGCCCAGAUGGGAUUAGCUAGUAGGUGGGGUAAUGGCUCACCUAGGCGACGAUCCCUAGCUGGUCUGAGAGGAUGACCAGCCACACUGGAACUGAGACACGGUCCAGACUCCUACGGGAGGCAGCAGUGGGGAAUAUUGCACAAUGGGCGCAAGCCUGAUGCAGCCAUGCCGCGUGUAUGAAGAAGGCCUUCGGGUUGUAAAGUACUUUCAGCGGGGAGGAAGGCGGUGAGGUUAAUAACCUUGCCGAUUGACGUUACCCGCAGAAGAAGCACCGGCUAACUCCGUGCCAGCAGCCGCAGUAA
This 506-nucleotide ribosomal RNA is filed under the name uncultured bacterium. RNAcentral's name for it is "partial 16S ribosomal RNA". It matches the Rfam family "Bacterial small subunit ribosomal RNA", at positions 30 to 523 of the family's 1533-position model. The record is from RNAcentral.